UAAGUACAUAUUCACCCAGCCU
This 22-nucleotide non-coding RNA is filed under the name Arabidopsis thaliana (thale cress). Lineage: Eukaryota; Viridiplantae; Streptophyta; Magnoliopsida; Brassicales; Brassicaceae. The record is from RNAcentral.